RNAcentral lists this ribosomal RNA (161 nucleotides) under uncultured bacterium. Its description in RNAcentral is "partial 16S rRNA". It matches the Rfam family "Bacterial small subunit ribosomal RNA", at positions 358 to 511 of the family's 1533-position model. The record is from RNAcentral.
GGAAUCUUCCACAAUGGACGCAAGUCUGAUGGAGCAACGCCGCGUGAGUGAAGAAGGUUUUCGGAUCGUAAAGCUCUGUUGUUGGUGAAGAAGGAUAGAGGUAGUAACUGGCCUUUAUUUGACGGUAAUCAACCAGAAAGUCACGGCUAACUACGUGCCAG